GACGAACGCUGGCGGCGUGCUUAACACAUGCAAGUCGAACGGAAAGGCCCUGCUUUUGUGGGGUGCUCGAGUGGCGAACGGGUGAGUAACACGUGAGUAACCUGCCCUUGACUUUGGGAUAACUUCAGGAAACUGGGGCUAAUACCGGAUAGGAGCUCCUGCUGCAUGGUGGGGGUUGGAUAGUUUCGGCGGUUGGGGAUGGACUCGCGGCUUAUCAGCUUGUUGGUGGGGUAGUGGCUUACCAAGGCUUUGACGGGUAGCCGGCCUGAGAGGGUGACCGGCCACAUUGGGACUGAGAUACGGCCCAGACUCCUACGGGAGGCAGCAGUGGGGAAUAUUGCACAAGGGGCGGAAGCCUGAUGCAGCAACGCCGCGUGCGGGAUGACGGCCUUCGGGUUGUAAACCGCUUUCGCCUGUGACGAAGCGUGAGUGACGGUAAUGGGUAAAGAAGCACCGGCUAACUACGUG
RNAcentral lists this ribosomal RNA (468 nucleotides) under uncultured bacterium. Its description in RNAcentral is "partial 16S ribosomal RNA". It matches the Rfam family "Bacterial small subunit ribosomal RNA", at positions 28 to 507 of the family's 1533-position model. The record is from RNAcentral.